This 342-nucleotide ribosomal RNA is filed under the name Xenostrobus securis. Its description in RNAcentral is "eukaryotic LSU rRNA". It matches the Rfam family "Eukaryotic large subunit ribosomal RNA", at positions 1 to 332 of the family's 3401-position model. Lineage: Eukaryota; Metazoa; Mollusca; Bivalvia; Mytilida; Modiolidae. The record is from RNAcentral.
CUCCGACCUCAGAUCAGACGAGAGUACCCGCUGAAUUUAAGCAUAUCACUAAGCGGAGGAAAAGAAACUAACUAGGAUUCCCCUAGUAAUGGCGAAUGAAGCGGGAAGAGCCCAGCACCGAAUCCCGCAGCCUUGCGCUGCAGGGAACUGUGGUGUUUAGGACGCCUAUUGCUGCAGCGUUCGGGUGCCCAGGUCCUCCUGAUCGGGGCCUCUCCCAGAGUGUGUGUCAGGCCUUUACUGGCACCCGACGCAGUGGCUCUGAACGUCCUUGGAGUCGGGUUGUUUGAGAAUGCAGCCCAAAGCGGGUGGUAAACUCCAUCUAAGGCUAAAUACCGACACGAG